This 218-nucleotide ribosomal RNA is filed under the name uncultured bacterium. Its description in RNAcentral is "partial 16S ribosomal RNA". It matches the Rfam family "Bacterial small subunit ribosomal RNA", at positions 1285 to 1500 of the family's 1533-position model. The record is from RNAcentral.
GUCUCAGUUCGGAUCGCAGGCUGCAACCCGCCUGCGUGAAGUCGGAAUCGCUAGUAAUCGCGGAUCAGCAUGCCGCGGUGAAUACGUUCCCGGGCCUUGUACACACCGCCCGUCACACCAUGAGAGUCGGGAACACCCGAAGUCCGUAGCCUAACUAGCAAUAGAGGGCGCGGCCGAAGGUGGGUUCGAUAAUUGGGGUGAAGUCGUAACAAGGUACC